GAUGAACGCUAGCUACAGGCUUAACACAUGCAAGUCGAGGGGCAGCAUUUCAGUUUGCUUGCAAACUGGAGAUGGCGACCGGCGCACGGGUGAGUAACACGUAUCCAACCUGCCGAUAACUCGGGGAUAGCCUUUCGAAAGAAAGAUUAAUACCCGAUGGUAUAAUCAGACCGCAUGGUCUUGUUAUUAAAGAAUUUCGGUUAUCGAUGGGGAUGCGUUCCAUUAGGCAGUUGGUGAGGUAACGGCUCACCAAACCUUCGAUGGAUAGGGGUUCUGAGAGGAAGGUCCCCCACAUUGGAACUGAGACACGGUCCAAACUCCUACGGGAGGCAGCAGUGAGGAAUAUUGGUCAAUGGGCGCAGGCCUGAACCAGCCAAGUAGCGUGAAGGAUGACUGCCCUAUGGGUUGUAAACUUCUUUUAUAUGGGAAUAAAGUUCUCCACGUGUGGAAUUUUGUAUGUACCAUAUGAAUAAGGAUCGGCUAACUCCGUGCCAGCAGCCGCGGUAAUACGGAGGAUCCGAGCGUUAUCCGGAUUUAUUGGGUUUAAAGGGAGCGUAGGUGGACAGUUAAGUCAGUUGUGAAAGUUUGCGGCUCAACCGUAAAAUUGCAGUUGAUACUGGCUGUCUUGAGUACAGUAGAGGUGGGCGGAAUUCGUGGUGUAGCGGUGAAAUGCUUAGAUAUCACGAAGAACUCCGAUUGCGAAGGCAGCUCACUGGACUGCAACUGACACUGAUGCUCGAAAGUGUGGGUAUCAAACAGGAUUAGAUACCCUGGUAGUCCACACAGUAAACGAUGAAUACUCGCUGUUUGCGAUAUACAGUAAGCGGCCAAGCGAAAGCAUUAAGUAUUCCACCUGGGGAGUACGCCGGCAACGGUGAAACUCAAAGGAAUUGACGGGGGCCCGCACAAGCGGAGGAACAUGUGGUUUAAUUCGAUGAUACGCGAGGAACCUUACCCGGGCUUAAAUUGCAUUUGAAUAUAUUGGAAACAGUAUAGCCGUAAGGCAAAUGUGAAGGUGCUGCAUGGUUGUCGUCAGCUCGUGCCGUGAGGUGUCGGCUUAAGUGCCAUAACGAGCGCAACCCUUAUCUUUAGUUACUAACAGGUCAUGCUGAGGACUCUAGAGAGACUGCCGUCGUAAGAUGUGAGGAAGGUGGGGAUGACGUCAAAUCAGCACGGCCCUUACGUCCGGGGCUACACACGUGUUACAAUGGGGGGUACAGAAGGCAGCUACCUGGUGACAGGAUGCUAAUCCCAAAAGCCUCUCUCAGUUCGGAUCGAAGUCUGCAACCCGACUUCGUGAAGCUGGAUUCGCUAGUAAUCGCGCAUCAGCCAUGGCGCGGUGAAUACGUUCCCGGGCCU
RNAcentral lists this ribosomal RNA (1359 nucleotides) under uncultured bacterium. RNAcentral describes it as "bacterial SSU rRNA". It matches the Rfam family "Bacterial small subunit ribosomal RNA", at positions 28 to 1381 of the family's 1533-position model. The record is from RNAcentral.